This 301-nucleotide ribosomal RNA is filed under the name uncultured bacterium. Its description in RNAcentral is "partial 16S ribosomal RNA". It matches the Rfam family "Bacterial small subunit ribosomal RNA", at positions 509 to 807 of the family's 1533-position model. The record is from RNAcentral.
CAGUCGCCGCGGGAACACGUAGGGGGCAAGCGCUGUCCGGAAUUAUUGGGCGUAAAGCGCGCGCAGGCGGUUUUUUAAGUCAGGGGUGAAAUCCCGGGGCUCAACCUCGGAACUGCCUUUGAUACUGGGUGUCUCGAGUCCGGAAGAGGUAAGUGGAACUGCGAGUGUAGAGGUGAAAUACGUAGAUAUUCGCAAGAACACCAGUGGCGAAGGCGGCUUACUGGUCCGGUACUGACGCUGAGGUGCGAAGGCGUGGGGAGCAAACAGGAUUAGAUACCCCCGUAGUCCCUGUCUCUUAUAC